Long non-coding RNA from Hydractinia symbiolongicarpus, 1765 nucleotides. RefSeq lists it as uncharacterized. NCBI's taxonomy places the organism in Eukaryota, Metazoa, Cnidaria, Hydrozoa, Anthoathecata, Hydractiniidae. The transcript is spliced from 3 exons. The record is from RefSeq and is a predicted model, not a curated record.
UUGAUGCUAACACAGAAUGAAAGAGAAAAUUUUGCGUUAAAAACUUAAAAAAUAAAUGGCAACAGAAUAAAGGUGUACGGUGGAAACGAACUAUAUGGAUCACAUUCCCUGAAUCACAUUCUGAACAUUUUGUUGAAAAGGCUGGAGGAAUGUUCAAAAAAGUCGAUGAAAGAAUCAUUAAAAAAAAUUCCCAUCUAGUUGCAGAAGGAGUGCGUAAAGUACGAAAAAUGGAAACACACAUUAACAUAUAUGUCAUGAAUGAAUUGUUUUGAGACGACAGUGUUCCACCGACAACAAACAGGAGGUUUUAUCCUAAAAGAAGUGAUAUACGUAAUCAUAUGUACUACUGAAAGUGGAAAAAUGGCGCAAAGAAUCUCCCAAAGAUAGCUUCUUUUUUAGAAGGUAUGGUGAAGUUGUCAACAACGAAGAUUGUAUACAGCCAAGUCGUGAUAAGGAUGACAACAAUGAUAUCAAGGUAACUUCAAUUUCCACGAAGCAAAGACUUUUAUUCGUGCAUCAAACUGAUGAUCACAAAAUGCCUUUGAAGAAAUACGGCAACUAUAUAUGUCUGCUUGUACGCAACAUAUAAAAUCACGAGAUAAUCUAUUCCGUUACUUUUUUGGCGAUAAAAACAAACGUCAAAUAUAUGGUUGUAAGAUCAUUUUCUGUUCAGGACGAGACCUUAGUUGUGUCAAAUAAGCCUUUUAUACAAAUCCUUCACACUGGUGCACUGCAUUGGAUUUGUGUAGGGAACACUACAAAUCAUAACAAUUCAUGUAAUGUUUACGUUAGCCUAAGUAGUGGUAAAAUCACACCCAGCGUUGCCUGACAAAUAGCAUUAUUCUGCCACACAGCAGAUCCGGAGAUAAGGGUUGAGAGAUGCUCCGUCCAGCAACAUUUGUUUGUUAUCUGUGAACCACUCAGAAUUUGUUAAAAGUGAUGGAGAGCUAUUUGAAUGUAAAAAACUCAACGAUGAAGUUCUUUGACGAAUUUUGACAAGUAACUCGAAGAAUACACCUUUCCCGAAUUUGUUUUCUUUGAUGUGCCAUAGCACUUUCUCAACUUUUUUAAAGAAAACGAAUGUCAUUUUCGAAAUCCUCACAUGAAAAUUGAUAAAUCGUGAAAUUUUCAUAUUUAUACAUCAAACAAACAAGCUGCUACAACAGGUUUUUUAAUUUUGUACUAAUUAACCUUUGCUCAAAUAUGAGGCUUAGCACAAGUUGAAAAUUAAGAAGGCUUUGACCGUAACAAUGAUGCCAUCAAAACAGCACUUUCCCAUGUCGGAUUAAGUUGAAAAUUUAUACACACACCAAUUUACUGAUGCUGAAUAUGAUGUUAAGGUCAAAACAUCAAAAUUGAUGCAUUUUUUAUUCCUUCUCUUCUACAAAACUCUCUUUAAUUAUUAUACAGAUUAAAUAUAUUUGAGGAAUCUUAAACUUUGAGCACGCUAUUGAAAACACUGGAAGAUAAAAGGAUUUUUCCCAUUUUAUCCCUCAACAAUAAAUAUUUUUGAUUCUUUUUAAAAAAAUAUCAGGAAAAUAUAUCAAAGAAUCAAAAUUAAAAAAAAUUUUUUUAAAAAAAAUUGACUCUGAAGGGGGUUACCGUAUUCUUAAAAGAUUCAACUCCGACUUGACCCCUGGUUAUAGUGCUUACCCAUGCUCAUGCUUCUUCCCGAACUUUGAAAUUCAUAAUGGCUGCAGAAUUAACGUCACAAGGACCAAAGAAUUAUAGGAUGCCUCACGGUGAUAUUCUACUUUGACGUCAA